UGAAAAGUUCAGUUUAACAGCAGCUCUCGUCUCAGUAAGUUAUUAGAUUUUUUCCUAAUAUUUCAAUAAAAGUUUUCACUGCCCUUUUUUAAGCCUUAUCAUAAUGGAAGUUUUCCGGAGACAGCGCUAUAUUGGUGCAAACAAUUAAAAAGUUUCUUAGUCAAAAUAAUGAUUUGUAACUAAUUUACUCAUAAAAUGUUAAAAAUAGUAUCAAGAAUUAAAUCAUUUAUCCCAGUUGAGAGUUGACGCAUUGAUCAGACUGACGGGGUGCUAAACAUUAACAGCACUGAGUUUCCGCCAAAAAUUCUUCAGAUAGAUACUUCUGCCAGGCGAUCCACCCAAAUUAAUUGACGACUAUUCUACACAAGGACUCUAAAAUGCCGAAAGUUGUUUCCUGCUUUUGGAUCCAUAGUACCUCGUGUUUUCUUUACUGGCUGAUUUGCUGCCGGUUUCAUGUCGACACCAAUGAAGUUGCUGCAGGACCUGAAUAGGAGUUCAUGUCCUGCUCCAACUUUUACUCUAAUGCAUUUUCUACUGGACAAUGUUGACACUAUAAGAUAUGAUAUUACUGACUGCAUUAUGACAAUUAUCUCGAAGCUUCCCUUAUACUUUAAGAACUCGUUACUGUAUACCCCUGGAAAUGUUUAAAAAAAAUUUAA
This 659-nucleotide small RNA is filed under the name Drosophila ananassae. RNAcentral's name for it is "GF27805". The record is from RNAcentral. Lineage: Eukaryota; Metazoa; Arthropoda; Insecta; Diptera; Drosophilidae.